UGGCGGGUAGCUCAGCGGUAGAGCGCCAAAAACACCCUUGUUCACACCUUGUCCUUUGGGCCGAAGAAUUGAGGGUUAUCGCUUAAAACGAGGAUGUCGCGGGUUCAACUCCCGCCCCGCCAC
Molecule: transfer RNA, 123 nt
Filed under: Oscillatoriaceae cyanobacterium M33_DOE_052
Lineage: Bacteria; Bacillati; Cyanobacteriota; Cyanophyceae; Oscillatoriales; Oscillatoriaceae
Description: tRNA-OTHER
Source: RNAcentral